This 294-nucleotide ribosomal RNA is filed under the name uncultured bacterium. RNAcentral describes it as "partial 16S ribosomal RNA". It matches the Rfam family "Bacterial small subunit ribosomal RNA", at positions 505 to 798 of the family's 1533-position model. The record is from RNAcentral.
GUGUCAGCAGCCGCGGUAAUACGGAGGGUGCAAGCGUUGUUCGGAAUCACUGGGCGUAAAGCGCGUGUAGGCGGUUUUUUAAGUCGGAUGUGAAAUCCCUCGGCUCAACCGAGGACGUGCAUCCGAUACUGGAAAACUAGAGUACCGGAGGGGAUGGUGGAAUUCCUGGUGUAGAGGUGAAAUUCGUAGAUAUCAGGAGGAACAUCAGGGGCGAAGGCGACCAUCUGGAAGGUAACUGACGCUGAGACGCGAAAGCGUGGGGAGCAAACAGGAUUAGAUACCCCUGUAGUCCUG